UAUUAGAUACCCCGGUAGUCCUAGCCGUAAACGAUACUCGCUAGGUGUCGGCCACGGUGCGACCGUUGUCGGUGCCGUAGGGAAGCCGUGAAGCGAGCCACCUGGGAAGUACGGCCGCAAGGCUGAAACUUAAAGGAAUUGGCGGGGGAGCACCACAACGGGUGGAGCUUGCGGUUUAAUUGGAUUCAACGCCGGAAAUCUUACCGGGACCGACAGCAGGAUGAUGGCCAGAUUGACGAUCUUGCUUGACAAGCUGAGAGGAGGUGCAUGGCU
RNAcentral lists this ribosomal RNA (273 nucleotides) under uncultured archaeon. RNAcentral describes it as "partial 16S ribosomal RNA". It matches the Rfam family "Archaeal small subunit ribosomal RNA", at positions 727 to 999 of the family's 1478-position model. The record is from RNAcentral.